Molecule: ribosomal RNA, 1138 nt
Filed under: Triticum aestivum (bread wheat)
Lineage: Eukaryota; Viridiplantae; Streptophyta; Magnoliopsida; Poales; Poaceae
Description: partial small subunit ribosomal RNA
Source: RNAcentral
GGGUCACAUUACAAACAUGUUUGUCACAGAGACGAAGCUAUCACAGAGACUGAAAAUUAAACACACACAAAGUUAACUGGUACUGGAAGUUAACUAGUACAGGGGACUAGUACACAGGGUGAACACACAUAUAUGCUAGCAGAAUACUAAUUGAUAGAACCAAAAUAUAAUAGAUCAAGUAUCUCCCAAAGUAACAAAGCCUCAACUAGUCAGAUCUCAGAUCACAUACACCAUAUUAUACGAGUACUUAAACAGAGCAAACAACAGGUUGCAAGUACACUUCAAAUCUGAAUAUUAAAUGUCAUACACUUCUAAAUUUUACAGAAAUUUCAGAGAGAGAGAGAAGCAGUAAGGAUUCGGAUUCAGAGAAGUGCAGCAGCAAGGUAAGGGAGGAAGGAGCAGCAGCAGCAAGUUAGGAGCAGCAGGGGACGCUGGAGACAAGGAGCAUCAGUAGUGGUGCAGCAAGAUAGGAGAAGAAGAACAGCAGUAGGCGUGUAAGGAAGAGGAGAAGCAGUUUGGGGAUUUGGAGAAGGAAGAGCAGCAAAGAGGCUAGGGAAAAAGAAGAAGAGCAGCAGUAGAGUUAGGACAAGAAGAAAGGUGGAGGAGCAGCAGGGAGAUGGAUUGCAGGGCGCGCGAGGUGGUGGUGGCGCUAGCGGCAGGAGGUGAUGGUGGCGCUAGCGGCAGGAGGUGAUGGUAGCGCUGGGUGUUGGUGCUGGUGAUGGAUGGCGCUGGUGGGUGGAUGAACUGCGGAGGCACACCACCACGCCGGCCUGGCCGUGGCGGCCGCCGAAGGUGGAGAAGGAGUGGUGAGGGGGAGAGAGAUGGAGAUGUGGCCAGGCCCGAUGGGGAAUGGAGGCAAUCUAGGGAUUUUGAUCCCCUCCCUGAUCUGCAAACUUUACACAUUAGCCCUCCUCCUUCUCUUCUUUCUUCACAAGAAGGUCCUCUCACUUCUUUAGCUAGCCCCCUGGUUACUUCUUUUCAUCUCACACAAGUCUCUUCUUCCUUCUCUUCUUUUCUUCACUCUUCUCGAUAACCACCUAGACAGAAUCUUGACGAUUAUUGGUGCCUUUGCGCACAUUUCUGCAAGAUAGACCAAAGACUAGUAAAUGAUCCUUUUUUAUGAUUAUCAAGCAAUAUU